Molecule: ribosomal RNA, 253 nt
Filed under: uncultured bacterium
Lineage: Bacteria
Description: partial 16S ribosomal RNA
Rfam family: Bacterial small subunit ribosomal RNA
Source: RNAcentral
UACGUAGGGGGCGAGCGUUGUCCGGAUUUAUUGGGCGUAAAGAGCGUGUAGGCGGCCAGGUAGGUCUGCUGUGAAAACUCGAGGCUCAACCCUGAAACUGCACUCGAUACUGCUCUGCUUGAGGACUGGAGAGGAGACUGGAAUUCACGGUGUAGCAGUGAAAUGCGCAGAUAUCAGGAAGAACACCCGUGGCUAAGGCGGCUCUCUAGUACGGUACUGACGCUGAGACGCGAAAGCGUGGGGAGCGAACAGG